RNAcentral lists this ribosomal RNA (253 nucleotides) under uncultured bacterium. RNAcentral's name for it is "partial 16S ribosomal RNA". It matches the Rfam family "Bacterial small subunit ribosomal RNA", at positions 524 to 776 of the family's 1533-position model. The record is from RNAcentral.
UACGUAGGGCGCAAGCGUUAUCCGGAAUUAUUGGGCGUAAAGAGCUCGUAGGCGGUUUGUCGCGUCUGCCGUGAAAGUCCGGGGCUCAACUCCGGAUCUGCGGUGGGUACGGGCAGACUAGAGUGUUGCAGGGGAGACUGGAAUUCCUGGUGUAGCGGUGAAAUGCGCAGAUAUCAGGAGGAACACCGGUGGCGAAGGCGGGUCUCUGGGCAACAACUGACGCUGGGGAGCGAAAGCGUGGGGAGCGAACAGG